CUAUGUUAAAAAAAAAAAAAUUUAAGGAUUAGGUGGGUUGGCCAACAUGAUUCAAUAAAGUUUUGGGGCACACGGAGCGGACCAAAAUCCAUCCCUUACCCCAAGGAUUAAUCUACAGAGCAAAGACUGCAACUCCUCCCUUUUUAACUGACUUGUUGUCUGGGUUUAGUUGGGCAGUUCCCAUUUGGUAAUCUGUCCAAAGCUUUGAGAUACCCACUUCCCACCGUAGACUCUUUUCACAUUAUGGGUCAAACCCUUAAUUUUGAUACUAUUAAAUUUCA
Molecule: unclassified non-coding RNA, 281 nt
Filed under: Hevea brasiliensis (rubber tree)
Lineage: Eukaryota; Viridiplantae; Streptophyta; Magnoliopsida; Malpighiales; Euphorbiaceae
Source: RNAcentral